This 465-nucleotide ribosomal RNA is filed under the name uncultured bacterium. Its description in RNAcentral is "partial 16S ribosomal RNA". It matches the Rfam family "Bacterial small subunit ribosomal RNA", at positions 338 to 795 of the family's 1533-position model. The record is from RNAcentral.
CCUACGGGAGGCAGCAGUGGGGAAUUUUGGACAAUGGGCGCAAGCCUGAUCCAGCUAUUCCGCGUGUGGGAUGACGGCCCUCCGGUUGUAAACCACUUUAGUCGAGGACGUAAAGUAGCUAUCGUAUACCUAGCUCUGCUGACUUUACUCUAAGAAUAAGCACCGCCUAACUACGUGCCAGCAGCCGCGGUAAUACGUAGGGUGCGAGCGUUGAUCGGAAUUACUGGGCGUAAAGGGUGUGCAGGCGGGUGAGUAAGACAGAUGUGAAGUCCCCGGGCUUAACCUGGGAACCGCAUAUGUGACUGCUUGGCUAGAGUGCGGCAGAGGGAGGUGGAAUUCCACGUGUAGCAGUGAAAUGCGUAGAUAUGUGGAAGAACACCGAUGGCGAAGGCAGCCUACUGGGACGCAACUGACGCUCAUACACGAAAGCGUGGGGAGCAAACAGGAUUAGAUACCCCAGUAGUC